Molecule: long non-coding RNA, 3351 nt
Organism: Nerophis ophidion (straightnose pipefish)
Lineage: Eukaryota; Metazoa; Chordata; Actinopteri; Syngnathiformes; Syngnathidae
Exons: 4
Source: RefSeq, a predicted model, not a curated record
AACAAGAUUACUCCGCCGGUCUCACAGAACUAACUAACUAACUUAGCGGCGAGGAGGGACGACGUCGGGGAACAAAAAAACGCUCGACGUCCCGGUCGAUGUCGUGGAGGGGGGGAGAAGACACGGGCUUCCCCCUUUUUUGUGUCUUGUUAUUAGGCGCUAAAUACGGUAAGAAAAAGAAAAAUGGGGAAGAAGCGCGGAUUUGGAUGUUGUUGUUUUGAUGUUCCACAUCCGUGACGUCACAUCCACCUGCCGUGUCAACUGAGUACUCAGGCCACGGGGGGCGCUGGUCGCUAUCUCAGCUAAAAUCGAGCGGAAGGCGGCGUACACCCUGAACAAGUCACCACCUCGUCACAGAGCUGCAAUCGGGCGGAAGACGGGGUACACCCUGGACAAUUCGCCAUCUCAUCGCAGAGUCUCCGUGCUGCUGUGUCGUGUGGAUUGAGGGCACAUCUUGAUUCGGGUGUACUUGCAAAUUAAUUGAGGAUCACUAUCAGUCAUGCCAUGGUCUCUCCAGGCAGCAGCUCGCAGACAACAAGUAAUUAGCUCUGGGUUAAUUGGCUGAUUAAACAAAUGAAUAGAAGCCGCUCUUGGUUUCGUCAGGGGUGGAAUGGCUUACACGCAGGGCUUUCUUCUCUGCACCGGAGAAAAAUGGGCAACGGAAUAAAGAAAUGCUCUCUCGCAGUGUAGACUACGGUGAGAAGAAUUCCUGUUUUGCCAGGCUAUUUACUUAUAGUCCCACAAUAGGAACGUUCACGUAGGCCAAUGGUCUGAUUAUGUUAGAUCCACUAUAGACUCUCACUAUUAUGUUGGAUCCAUUAUGGACUGGACUCUCACUAUUGUUAGAUCCACUAUGGACUGGACUCUUACUAUUACGUUAGAUCCACUAUGGACUGGACUCUCACUAAUAUGUUAGAUCCACUAUGGACUGGACUCUCACUAUUAGGUUAGAACCACUAUGGACUGGACUCUCACUAUUAUGUUAGAUCGACUAUGGACUCAACUCUCACUAUUGUGUUUGAUCCACUACAGACUAGACUCUCACUAUUACGUAAGAUCCACUAUGGACUGGAUUCUCACUAUUAUGUUACAUCCACUAUAGACUGGACUCUCACUAUGAUGUUAGAUCCACUAUGGACUGGACUCUCACUAUUAUGUUAGAUCCACUAUGGACUGGACUCUCAUUAUUACGUUAGAUCCUCUAUGGACUGGACUCUCACUAUUAUGUUAGAUCCACUAUGGACUGGACUCUUACUAUUAUGUUAGACCCACUAUGGACUGGACUCUCACUAUCAUGUUAGAUCAACUAUGGACUGGACUCUCACUAUUAUGUUAGAUCCACUAUGGACUGUACUCUCAUUAUUAUGUUAGAUCCACUAUGGACUGGACUCUCACUAUUAUGUUCAAUCCACUAUGGACUGGACUCUCACUCUUAUGUUUGAUCCACUAUGGACUGGACUCUCAUAAUUACGUUAGAACCACUAUGGACUGGACUCUCACUAUUAAGUUAGAUCCACUAUGGACUGGACUCUCACUAUUAUGUUAGAUCAACUAUGGACUGGACUCUCACUAUUACGUUAGAUCCACUAUGGACUGGACUCUCACUAUUACGUUAGAACCACUAUGGACUGGACUCUCACUAUUAUGUUAGAUCCACUAUGGACUGGACUUUCACUAUUACGUUAGAUCCACUAUGAACUGGACUUUCACUAUUACGUUAGAACCACUAUGAACUGGACUCUCAAUAUUAUGUUAGAUCCACUAUGGACUGGACUUUCACUAUUACGUUAGAACCACUAUGGACUGGACUCUCACUAUUAUGUUGGAUCCACUAUGGACUGGACUCGCAUUAUUACGUUAGAUCCACUAUGGACUGGACUCUCACUAUUGUUAGAUCCACUAUGGACUGGACUCUUACUAUUACGUUAGAUCCACUAUGGACUGGACUCUCAAUAUUAUGUUAGAUCCACUAUGGACUGGACUCUCACUAUUAUGUUAGAUCCACUAUGGACUGGACUCUCACUAAUAUGUUUGAUCCAGUAUGGACUGGACUCUCACAAUAUUAUGCUAGAUCCACUAUGGACUGGACUCCCACAAUAUUAUGCUAGAUCCACUAUGGACUAGACUCUCACUAUUACGUUAUAUCCACUAUGGACUGGACUCUCACUAUUAUGUUAAAUCCACUAUGGACUGGACUCUCACUAUUAUGGUAGAUCCACUAUGGACUAGACUCUCACUAUUACGUUAGAUCCACUAUGGACUGGACUCUCACUAUUAUUUUAAAUCCACUAUGGACUGGACUCUCACUAUUAUGUUAGAUCCACUAUGGACUGGACUCUCACUAUUAUGUUAGAUCCACUAUGGACUGGACUCUCACUAUUAUGUUAGAUCCACUAUGGACUGGACUCUCACUAUUAUGUUAGAUCCACUAUGGACUGGACUCUCACUAUUAUGUUAGAUCCACUAUGGACUGGACUCUCACUAUUAUGUUAGAUCCACUAUGGACUGGACUCUCACUAUUAUGUUAGAUCCACUAUGGACUGGACUCUCACUAUUAUGUUAGAUCCACUAUGGACUGGACUCUCACUAUUAUGUUAGAUCCACUAUGGGCUUUCUAUGGCUCGUUUGGCUCCGGUGCCACUUCCCGUUUUCGCAACUUGUGAUUGGAUACUCACUUGGGACUCCCAAGUGAGUAACCAAUCACCUUAAUGACAACAACUCAUGACCUGAUUGGCUAUGGCAAUUAUCUAUCAACUGUAUGUGCCCGUUCACUUAGUCCACGGACACAUACCGCAUUGUUGAUUCCGAAGGCCCCCGGGCAGAUUUGGUACAGCAUGGCAACAGAAGCGAGCUGAAUUCUGAUUGGAUUAAAAACUCUAACCUAUAAACAACAGCACUGGAAGGAGCAUAAUAUGACAUGAAGAGAAUAUGAAUACUUUUAGAUAUUUAGGGAUAGUAGAUAAAAGAAUACUUUUAUCUUUAAUCACACCACUGCCUAUUUGAAACACUAUUUUAGCAGGUUCCUUUUAUAUUGUUUUAAGUUGCUAAGCCUCCCAUUAUGUCUUCUGACAACACAUUAACUUCUAACCGAGCUAUGAACUGUCAUAAAAUGACAUUAUCACUCUAUAAACAGCUUCCUGGUUCCUUUCUAUUAUGUGCCUUCCUGUCAGCUGUUAUCACCGUUCUGUUUAGUUUCAUUAUACUGUAGUCAGCUUCUCAGAAUGUUAAAAUGUAACGUAUGGCCUGGAUAAAUGACGGCAAACUUUUAUCCCUGGAUCAAAUUCACUGUAGGCGAUUUGAGAAAAAUUGUGUUUGACAUUUGAACUUAGAAAUAAAGCAUCAUUAUUUAAU